ACUGCUUCGAGGUAUGCGGCAAUCGAACGUAUUCACUGCAGCGUUUCCGUCCUCGACACCUGAGCAUGGGUUUUUGAGCGUGUUUGGAGACCGAGGGGUGGAUGAAAACAAGUCGAGCUGCAACAGCAGCAACUGUCGUAGCGGCAGCGGUAGGGGCAUUCGCUCUACGGGGAGCGCGCUCGGGCCAGCAGGCUGAGCCAGCUCCACCAGUGUUGCGCUAUGGACAGGGUCCAUCGCCAGUUGCCUUAUGCAUAGGAGUGGUGCUAUCGACACUCUGGAAUGCGGGUCGGUUGGUUACGUUGUGAUCGCGAAGGUCAGGCUUGCGGUUUCCUCGUUCGUUUUGCUCAAAGCAGCCGCCGCAGCCGCCACCGCUCUAGCGCAAACGCGUAGGUCGUGCUUUGCAUACGUUUCCGCUGCGGUAUGAUCAUGUGUCGUUUAGUGUUGUUUUCUUUCUGGUUCGGUAUCUGUUUGCGUCCGAUGAGGUUCGCAUUGGCGCAAGCACCAAACGAAUCCCGGCCAACCCACAUCAGCUGUUGCACUUUUGUUGACAUAGACCCUUCAACGACGCGACGCUACCGUUGUGUCUUCAGGUCGUCGGCAGGCGGCGCGCUCGUUCUGGUACCAGGAAUUCCACCUGAAGACUGUAUUGCAUCCAAAAACACGGACUGAACCAAGUCAGUCUCCAGCGUGACCGCCACAUAGCCGCUUCGACAAGCCGGAGCGAUCACCAAGGCUGCACCUUGAAUGCGAGCCGAACACAAGGUCAAGACUUGAAAUGGCUCGCUUCUGUCCGGUCACGAGCAUGCAUUCGAUCAGGUCUCCAGUGCCCCGAAAAACGAUCAGGUUUCCAUAAUCUCUCUCUGUUUCCAGUGAACUGGUGGAACCGAUGCGAAGAGCGAAUUGUGUAGCGAAGCAAAUCGCUCCCGGAUCGCCGCACUGAACCUAGGCUGCUGCGUCGGGGAUGCUCGCCCCAAAUGCGCUACAAUGAAGACACGGCUACGAAAGCUACUAGCGAACGCCGAGCACUCCGCAGAGCUCUGGGUAGUCAGCACGCCGCAGGAAUACCACGGCGCCCUGUUUCUACGUGUGCCAGGAACGCACCAGCGCGAGUCGCCACUUCACAUGAGAGACAAGGUAGCGGUACCACGGUUUGGACUGGGUGUAUGCACGCGCGACACGGAAGCUGCGCAACUGCAUUUGCACUCUGUAGGAGGCAACGCGCACAACGUGGCACUUUGUUGACAUUUUGUGCGCGUCUAGCGAUUCGGAGACAGCAGCAAUGGUAAGGAUGCUUUUGUUGGCGUAGCGCCCUUGCACCGGCCGAAAACAGCGGUGCUGUUGCCAGCUGGAAGGCAAGUUGAGGUAGCGUAACGCACACCGAGCAUUCUCUUGCGCACUACAUCCGGAAACUGCAACGCAUCGGGAGGAACCGCAAUCCUGCCCUGGAAGCCAUGUUCCUGUUGUGCUGGUGCUUCGCAGGUGCGCCCCCGUCUCCUCAUGGUCCGUUGCUGCCGCGAUCGCUAGCUAACGAAUACCGAGGAUGGAGCUCUUCGGUUACGUUUCCGCGGGGGCCAGCAUGCGGCGCGGAUCUACUGCUUGGUCGAACGCUUCCGCGGUGAUGUAGCCACUAGCGAGAGCCGCUUCCCGUAAAGACAA
This 1656-nucleotide unclassified non-coding RNA is filed under the name Cyanidioschyzon merolae strain 10D. Its description in RNAcentral is "hypothetical transcript". The record is from RNAcentral. Lineage: Eukaryota; Rhodophyta; Bangiophyceae; Cyanidiales; Cyanidiaceae.